CCUACGGGGUGCAGCAGUGAGGAAUAUUGGUCAAUGGACGAGAGUCUGAACCAGCCAAGUAGCGUGAAGGAUGACUGCCCUAUGGGUUGUAAACUUCUUUUAUAUGGGAAUAAAAUGUUCCACGUGUGGGAUUUUGUAUGUACCAUAUGAAUAAGGAUCGGCUAACUCCGUGCCAGCAGCCGCGGUAAUACGGAGGAUCCGAGCGUUAUCCGGAUUUAUUGGGUUUAAAGGGAGCGUAGGUGGAUUGUUAAGUCAGUUGUGAAAGUUUGCGGCUCAACCGUAAAAUUGCAGUUGAAACUGGCAGUCUUGAGUACAGUAGAGGUGAGCGGAAUUCGUGGUGUAGCGGUGAAAUGCUUAGAUAUCACGAAGAACUCCGAUUGCGAAGGCAGUUCACUGGACUGCAACUGACACUGAGGCUCGAAAGUGUGGGUAUCAAACAGGAUUAGAUACCCUAGUAGUC
RNAcentral lists this ribosomal RNA (460 nucleotides) under uncultured bacterium. RNAcentral's name for it is "partial 16S ribosomal RNA". It matches the Rfam family "Bacterial small subunit ribosomal RNA", at positions 338 to 795 of the family's 1533-position model. The record is from RNAcentral.